RNAcentral lists this long non-coding RNA (299 nucleotides) under Ananas comosus (pineapple). RNAcentral describes it as "long non-coding RNA (ACOM_LNC021721)". The record is from RNAcentral. Lineage: Eukaryota; Viridiplantae; Streptophyta; Magnoliopsida; Poales; Bromeliaceae.
CUAAGCCAUCUCAGUUCCAAAGAGUCUUGAUUUGAAAUUCUUAAUCUAUUUAAUAUAUACGAGCGCUUCUGUAUAAUGAUCAUGGGAGUAUAUAUCAGGUGAUACGCCUCUUGCAAUUAACUAUACUACUUUUAAUAUAUUAGAUAGAAUAACUGAAAUUGACCGACCGUCUCUAGAGCAAGUUGCAAAAGGCUUGGUAAUUGGUACUCGAGAUCCCUAGUUCGAAUCCUAGUUGAUUUAUAUUUCCAGCUAAAUUUAUUUCUUAAUUAAAUAAACGAAGCGGGUAGCGUGCUACCUAU